GAAACUACAAAUAGAAUUAGACGGGGGCCCGGCACAAGCGGAGGAGCAUGUGGUUUAAUUUCGAUGAUACGCGAGGAACCUUACCUGGGCUUAAAUGCUUAAUGACGUACUGGGAAACUGGUAUUUCUUCGGACAUUUUGCAAGGUGCUGCAUGGUUGUCGUCAGCUCGUGCCGUGAGGUGUCGGGUUAAGUCCCAUAACGAGCGCAACCCCUAUUGUUAGUUGCCAUCAGGUCAUGCUGGGGACUCUAACAAAACUGCCCGCGUAAGCGUGGAGGAAGGUGGGGAUGACGUCAAAUCAGCACGGCCCUUACGUCCAGGGCUACACACGUGCUACAAUGGCCGGUACAGAGGGCAGCCACUUGGUGACAAGGAGCAAAUCUCAAAAGCCGGUCUCAGUUCGGAUCGGAGUCUGCAACUCGACUCCGUGAAGUUGGAUUCGCUAGUAAUCGUAGAUCAGCAAUGCUACGGUGAAUACGUUCCCGGGCCUU
RNAcentral lists this ribosomal RNA (489 nucleotides) under uncultured Bacteroidota bacterium. Its description in RNAcentral is "bacterial SSU rRNA". It matches the Rfam family "Bacterial small subunit ribosomal RNA", at positions 903 to 1382 of the family's 1533-position model. The record is from RNAcentral. Lineage: Bacteria; Pseudomonadati; Bacteroidota.